Molecule: ribosomal RNA, 302 nt
Filed under: uncultured bacterium
Lineage: Bacteria
Description: bacterial SSU rRNA
Rfam family: Archaeal small subunit ribosomal RNA
Source: RNAcentral
GUACGAGCGAGACCCUUGCCUCUAGUUGCCACCAUUGCUCUCCGGAGCAGUGGGGCGAAUUAGCGGGACCGCCGCAGUUAAUGCGGAGGAAGGAAAGGGCAACGGCAGGUCAGUAUGCCCCGAAUCUCUGGGGCCACACGCGGGCUGCAAUGGUAGUGACAAUGGGUAUCCGAACCCGAAAGGGGGAGGCAAUCCUCAAACGCUACCACAGUUAUGACUGAGGGCUGCAACUCGCCCUCACGAAUAUGGAAUCCCUAGUAACUGCGUGUCAUUACCGCGCGGUGAAUACGUCCCUGCUCCUU